CCAUGGAUCUGGGGCUGUCUCCAUGGAUCUGGGGCUGGAUCCAUGGAUCUGGGCUGGCUUUUCGGGAAGCGGGGGCGCCAGGCGAAGCGGGGACGGCCGGGGCGGGAGCAGCCGGGAAAAGCGCUGGAUUCGGGGGCUCCGGGGGCGGAUCCGGGGCUCGGGAGCCGGGAACGCGCUGACCUGGGCAGGCCGCGGCCGCCGCUCGGUGUCCGCAUGGGCCGCGGGCCGGGGGGCGCCGAUCCCGCCGGGAUCCGCCGGGGCUCUCCCGGUACCGGCGCUGGGCCCGCGAUCCCCGAACGCGCCCGGAGCGCCGGGCCCGGCCCGGAGCCGCUGCCAGCGGAGCGGAGCGAGGGAUGCCGGGAUUUGGGAAUCAUCGCCUUCCCUCCUCCCCUUCCUCCUCCUCCUCCUCCUCCUUUCCUGCCUUUCCCCUUCCUGCUCUUCCCGCUUUUCCUGCUCUGCCUCCUCCCGCUUCUCCUGCUCCUCUUUUUCCUCGUUUUCCUCCUCCUCUUCCUCUUCCUGCUCCUCCCUUUUCGUGGUUCUUCUGCUUUUCCUUCUCUUUUUGCUCCUUUUCCUCCUCCUCCUUUUCCUGCUUUCCCUGCUCCUCUUUUUCCUCCUUUUGCUUCUCCUCUUUUUCCUCCUUUCCUCUUUUUCCUUCUCCUCUUUUUCCUCUUUUUCCUCCUUUUCCUCCUCUUUUCCUGCUUUUCCUGCUCCCACUUUUCCUGCUCCUCCUUUUCGUGCUUCUUCUGCUUUUCCUUCUCCUCUUUUUCCUCCUUUUCCUUCUCCUCCUCCUUUUCCUGCUCCUCUUUUCCCUUCUCUUCCCUUUCCAGCUUUUCCUCUUUUUCCUCCUUUUCCUCUUUUUCCUCCUUUUCCUUCUUUUCCUCCUCCUCCUUUUCCUGCUCCUCUUUUUCCUUCUCUUCCCUUUCCAGCUUUUCCUCUUUUUCCUCCUUUUCCUCCUUUUCCUGCUCCUCUUUUCCCACUUUCCCUCCUGUCCUGCUUUUCCCACUUUUCCAGGUUUUAGGAAGGAAAAUCUUUCCCGGAUUAUUUUUGGGAAGCAGCAAAAGCGAGCAUGGGGCUUCAUGAAUUAAAGGAAAUUUUCCUGAGAAUUUUGGGAAUUAAAGCGAUUUUUUCCGAUUUUCCCUAUUUUUUUUUCUUCCGAGAAUUAAAGUGAUUUUUUUUUCUGGAGUUUUUUUCCUGGGAUUAAAAUGAAUUUUCCAGGGUUUUUUGGGGUUAUUUUUGGUUUUUUUUUUUUUUUCUGGGAAUUAGAGUGUUUUUCCUGGAGCUUUUUCCAGGGAUUUAAAGUGAUUUUUCUGGAGGUUUUUUCCUGGAAAUAAAAUGAAUUUUCCUGGUUGUUUUUGUUGUUGG
Molecule: long non-coding RNA, 1362 nt
Filed under: Junco hyemalis (dark-eyed junco)
Lineage: Eukaryota; Metazoa; Chordata; Aves; Passeriformes; Passerellidae
Description: lncRNA (ENSJHYG00000013467.1)
Source: RNAcentral